Molecule: long non-coding RNA, 1322 nt
Filed under: Macaca fascicularis (crab-eating macaque)
Lineage: Eukaryota; Metazoa; Chordata; Mammalia; Primates; Cercopithecidae
Description: lncRNA (ENSMFAG00000061973.1)
Source: RNAcentral
UGCUGCUGAAAUGAAGUUAAGUUUGGAAAGAAGUGAUACCUCUAGACUGGGUUUAUAUUAAUCUGUGAUAUAAAUGAAGAAGACAUAGUAAUAGAACUCCCUGCUUUUAAUUGGGGAAAUAGGGCUUUAAUCAUUUUGACCUCAACUAAAAAUGAUAUGCAAUAGUCUAUGUUUGUGUGUGUUUGAAAUACAUUCUGUUCUCAGAGAUUUCUACAUUCUCACGUUCUAGUGAUUUGGGGCGUGGGCUUACUAGCAGAUGUACAGUGUAUUCCUGCAUAAUUCUGAUUCACCCUUAAAGCCCAGUUCUUGCUGUCUUCUACCAGGGGUUGCUGACUCCAGUUACCCAUGGAAUGCGGGACCUGGGAGGGGUAGCAAUUAGGGUCUUUCAAAACUCUUUGGAUCUUAGCAUUUGUCUCUCCUUAAGUGCCAGUCACAAUUGGAUAUGGAAGGACUGUGAUUUCUGCAAUGAACCCUAACUUUUAGAGUAAAAAGCCAAAUCUUUUUUAAAUUCUAUGAAAGAAGGGAAAAAAGAGAAAAAACUCAAGUUUAUUACUUGCAGUAACUACAUUACAGAAAUUACAUAACACAUGGCAAUUCUUAGCAAUGGAAUCCCUCUAGGAUUCUAGUUUGGGCUUUGUCUGGAUUUGCUUUUCUCAAUUGUGCUUUGAAGUGAAUAAGCUUUGUUAUAAAUUACUUUUUUAUUAGUUCCAAUAUUAGUUGGAGUUAACUUGAAUUGUAUGUAGCACAGCACUUUUGCAGUGAGAUUGGUGUGAAAUACUAAACACUAUGGAUUUUGUAGGUGUCAGGUUAAAUCGUCAAGGGAUACCUACAUUAAGUAAUAUAUUAGGUAUUGAUGAUCUUACUUCUUUUCUGUUCCCCUCUACAAAACACUUACCUAACCCAGCUUGUGGUUUUAGGACAGCCAAAGCUCACUGUGGUGGGUUAGUCCUAAUCGCUACACAGGUUUCAUAUAUGAGACUUGUUUGAAUUUUGGUAAAUUGGAGCAUGUUGGUUGGUAUUACACAGCAGCAUUUCAAAUGAGUGCAGCUCUGUAUCUGUCCAAAAGGAGAGAUAAGACUAAUUUGAAGGGAAUUCAAUAUGUGAGUCCUCUUUUUAAUGGUGCUUUUUGUAACCUUUAAUGCUGAGGUACAGAGCUGCUUUUCAAUAUUUCAUAAAGGAGUGGCAGACAAGAGUGGAUUUUAAAGCUGUUCUUCAAAUGUAAUUUGUCACUGGACUCUGACACACCUGGAAAUUAUAUGAUAUGACACAUACAGAAAUGUGGGUUUUUUCCAUAAAACUUUAAUAAAAGUAUUAUACAGCAA